Molecule: small nuclear RNA, 161 nt
Organism: Carcharodon carcharias (great white shark)
Lineage: Eukaryota; Metazoa; Chordata; Chondrichthyes; Lamniformes; Lamnidae
Product: U1 spliceosomal RNA
Exons: 1
Source: RefSeq, a predicted model, not a curated record
AUACUUACAUGGCAGGGGAGAGAUCAUGAUUAAGAAGGUGUUUCUCCCAGGACAAGGCUAUCUUAUUGCACUGUGGCGUGCUGAUGCCUGCAAUGUCCCUAAAUGCCGGACACUCAGUUGCAGAAUUACAGUAGUUGGGGCUGUGUUUGCGCGCUCCCCUG